GUUUCUCCACAUCCUCACAAAUACUUGUCAUCAUCUAAGAUUUUUUUAACAGUUCUCUUGAUCUUCAGGCAUAUCCCACUAGAAUAUACAGCUGAGUGACUGCUUUCAACUCACUUGAAAUCAUUCUGUUUCUGAGGUCAUGCCCAAGUUUUACCCACAGCAGGUUAAUUUGUUCCAUUUAGCAUGAGCUGUAUAGAGAUUUCCACUUGCAUGUAAUUUAAUUUUAUGAUUAUGUGAAAAAUUUGCAUGGUACCCGGCCAAAUCUACAAAAUAAGAUAUAUCUAGAGAAAUCUGUCUUUCUACCUUAUUCUCCUCUGCUGCUAAAGUUACAGUUUUCCAAUUUUUUAUAAUUUAUCCUUCAAUUUAAAAAGUAGAAGCAAGGAUGUACACACACACACACACGGGCAUACACACACGGACACACACAUGGGCACGUUUUCCGCUCCCAUUCUUUGGCAGAGGACCUCAUCCUUCUCUGCCUUGCUUUCCUGACCUGCUAGCCUGAAGGCCUGUGGCCUGUCCAUGAUAGUUUCUAGAGAUGUCUCCACCGUCAGUUUCAGCCAUGUGGGACCACACUGUGUGGCUGGACCACCGUGCAGCCAGGCCCUGCCACCUGCCUCGUGGCUGUUUCCAGUCUUGCUCUUACAGACGGCGCUGCGAUGAGCAGCUAUUUUUUUAAAUUAUUUAUUUAUUUAUUUGUUUGGCUGCAUCGGGUCUUAGUUGUGGGACGCGGCAUCUUCCUUGCAGCACGCGGGAUCUUUCGUUGCGGCGAGUGGGCUUCUCUCUAGUUGUGGCACGUGGGUCCAGAGCGUGCAGGCUCAGUAGUUGCAGCACGCGGGCUUAGUUGCCCCAUGGUGUGUGGGAUCUUAGCUCCCUGACCAGGGAUCGAACCUGCGUCCCCUGCAUUUGAAGGUGGAUUCUUAACCACUGGGCCACCAGGGAAGUCCCAAUGAGCAGCUCUUUGUGAUGAGGCCAUUUUUUAGGUUCAAGCCCAACAUCAUAAUGUCCAGUGGCGUGAAUUAUUGUCCACAACCUAAGGAGCGGCUUCCUCCCUCAGGGCCUCCAACUCAGUGGCCCAGAGUUGAUUGGUAAGUGGAUCAUUUUCCUACGAGGCUGAUAUGAAGCCAUCACAAAUUCUUUGACCAGAUACAUGGACUUUUCAGCUUUUGACCUGCCCCCCUUUUCUUGCUGUGUCCAGGUGACAGUCAGUGGACACUUACUCUGUCUGGAACCCCCUCCUGCUAUCCUGACGUGUCCCGCCGUGGACACUGCUUGUUCACGUCAGGCCGGCAGCUUCCCAGGCCUCCUCUGGCUUAGCACAAAUGCAGAAGCUGAGCUGAGAAAAGGAAACAGCCUCCAUGGAGGCCUCGGGGGACGCUCCCAUCUCCCAGGGAAGCAUUUCCAGAAGGUGCAGAGGGUCUGAGGGUGGCCAGGGGAAUCAGGGCAGCCAGGCCUUUGGGCCAGGACCGUGGACAGCGGCGCCCGGGGCCCAGCACUGCGCCAGGAGCAGCUGAGAAUCGGGUCAGCAGGUGGCGCCCGUGCCCUCCGCGGGCAGCGCAGACAUGGGGAGCGUCAUUCCUUCACCUCGCACGUGGGUUCCUGGGUGGCUGAGCAGGGUGCGGGGGAGGCGGCCCAACCUUGCAGAGCGCGAUCUAACACGAAUGGAGGGGCAAAAGCAGCCUGUUGAAACAGACAGACACAGAAGACCAGCCUCACACAGGCAGCAAGUUCACCAGAACUCGGAAGGCGAGAUCCCGGGCGUCUGUUGGCGUUGUUAGUAUCAUCUGUGCGCAGCCUCCCAUGAACACAGCCAGUCUUGUGUCGGUGCAAGUGACCCCCCGCCCCUGGCAGACGGAGAGACGGACCCCGGAGAGGCUGGCACCCGCCGUGGCUCGAAGAGCCUAGAGGGGCUGGCAUCACCCUUGACCUGCCUGAGCGAGAGCCCGUCUGUCUGGUGACGUGCUUGGUCAUCACUCGGCCGUGACGAGCCAACAUCCUGAGCUGACCAUGAGGCUGCCUGUCCAGCAGGUCCCCCUGUGGCCCCUGCCAUGCGCGGGAGUAGGAGUCACCGCAUGUGUGGCCCCGUGCGUGAGUCAGACGGGUGCAGCCUCAGACCUCUGUGCCACCUUUGAGUCGGGUGCCAUGAAGGAGACGCACCAAGCCGCGACCACGAGUCUGCUUUUGGGGCCACAUUCCCCGAGGACGCCUGGAGUGUCACCUCCCACACAAGCAGCGCACAGCCUCCGGGUGGAAGGACGGGGCUGCCGGGGGUACGGCGCAGGCCGGAGGUGGGUCCUGGAGCAAGGGCCCGGGCGGGAAGAGCCCUGCACGUUCCCCCAGGCCCUGUCUUCAGCCGCUGCACGCAGGCCGGUUCCAGCCGUGCUGUUGCCCGGGGUAGGGGACAUCGCCCCAGCACAGUCGUGGGCAAAAUGUUUCAGAACCCAGUGUCCUUCAGAUCUUUUCUUUCUUACCUUUUCAGUGCUUGAAGAUUAACCUUUUUUGGGGAAAACUUAGCAUUUUUAAAAGCUUCCUGUUUUUUGCCUAGACUCACCUCAUCAAUCAGAACUGUGCACUCUCGAGGCUGGCAGGAGAGCUCACUUGUCUAGAGAACGGAAACUCGCCCCCUCUUGGGGCUUUUACUAAAGUGAGUUUCCAACCUUCUUGAAAAAAUAACACUGACUCUUGCUGUUUUCUAAUUACAAUUGUCCCCACUCAUUGUAGAAACUUAUGAAAACAUAAAGAAGAGUAAAAGAAGGAAAUAAAAACCAUUCCAAAUCUG
This 2779-nucleotide long non-coding RNA is filed under the name Phocoena sinus (vaquita). Its description in RNAcentral is "lncRNA (ENSPSNG00000020061.1)". The record is from RNAcentral. Lineage: Eukaryota; Metazoa; Chordata; Mammalia; Artiodactyla; Phocoenidae.